CCUACGGGUGACUGCAGUAGGGAAUAUUGCUCAAUGGGGGAAACCCUGAAGCAGUAACGCCGCGUGGAGGAUGAAGGUUUUCGGAUUGUAAACUCCUUUUGUUAGAGAAGAUAAUGACGGUAUCUAACGAAUAAGCACCGGCUAACUCCGUUCCAGCAGCCGCGGUAAUACGGAGGGUGCAAGCGUUACUCGGAAUCACUGGGCGUAAAGGGCGCGUAGGCGGGAUAGCAAGUCAGAUGUGAAAUCCUAUGGCUUAACCAUAGAACUGCAUUUGAAACUGAUAUUCUAGAGUUUGGGAGAGGUAGGUGGAAUUCUUGGUGUAGGGGUAAAAUCCGUAGAGAUCAAGAGGAAUACUCAUUGCGAAGGCGACCUGCUAGAACAUAACUGACGCUGAUGCGCGAAAGCGUGGGGAGCAAACAGGAUUAGAUACCCGAGUAGUC
This 440-nucleotide ribosomal RNA is filed under the name uncultured bacterium. RNAcentral describes it as "partial 16S ribosomal RNA". It matches the Rfam family "Bacterial small subunit ribosomal RNA", at positions 338 to 795 of the family's 1533-position model. The record is from RNAcentral.